RNAcentral lists this ribosomal RNA (244 nucleotides) under uncultured Actinomycetales bacterium. RNAcentral describes it as "partial 16S ribosomal RNA". It matches the Rfam family "Bacterial small subunit ribosomal RNA", at positions 89 to 334 of the family's 1533-position model. Lineage: Bacteria; Bacillati; Actinomycetota; Actinomycetes; Actinomycetales. The record is from RNAcentral.
GCUCGAGUGGCGAACGGGUGAGUAACACGUGAGUAACCUGCCCUUGACUUUGGGAUAACUUCAGGAAACUGGGGCUAAUACCGGAUAGGAGCUCCUGCUGCAUGGUGGGGGUCGGAAAGUUUCGGCGGUUGGGGAUGGACUCGCGGCUUAUCAGCUUGUUGGUGGGGUAGUGGCUUACCAAGGCUUUGACGGGUAGCCGGCCUGAGAGGGUGACCGGCCACAUUGGGACUGAGAUACGGCCCAG